Molecule: long non-coding RNA, 1172 nt
Filed under: Pavo cristatus (Indian peafowl)
Lineage: Eukaryota; Metazoa; Chordata; Aves; Galliformes; Phasianidae
Description: lncRNA (ENSPSTG00000000471.1)
Source: RNAcentral
CUACUUCAGGGAGCCGUGGUCCAUGGCCAUCUAUCACGACCGCUUUAUCGAUCUGCAGAAGGAGCUGCGCCAGGUCCUGCUGUCAGAGCAGGUGAGAGAAAUGCCGCUUUAUUAUUCGGCUAAUCUGUUGAUGUUGUUCACUUCGGUUGCUUCUCCCAUCUUUCUCCCGAAGCUUCAUGCUGCUGUCGAGCUAUUUCCUGCACAGAUCCCACACCCGCCGCCCUGCUGGUCCCUCUCAGUCUUCUGCCAUGCUUUCAGAUUUGCCAGCAGAACUUCCCACGAAGUCGCUCUGUUUUCCCACGCAGCACGAGAGGCCCGCCAGAAAUGCCCACCUCAUUUCUUCACUUAUCGCUUUCCCGGUGUUUCCCGAUCGGAAUUCACUAAAUGCCAUCCUAAACCUGUCUCAGGCGAGCCUGCAACCAGCAGGUUUCUCAACACCUCCCCAUAGAGAACGAAUGGCUUUUGCAGCCUUACGCCGCAGACAGAGCCAUGCAGUCCCACAGCCCGUAGCUCCCGUCACUCCAAACCGAAACCACCAUAGAUGGGUACCCCCUGCUGCCAUGGGUACCCCACGGAAUUCCUGGGUGUGGGUGACUACAGGGACGGCCGCUGUGGGGACGGCGCCCACCCGUCCGGACGACCCGAAGCGGCGCGCUGCUCGCAGCUCAGCGCACUGCGGCGUGCCAGCCGGCUCCCGACGACGGGCACGGGGAAGGAAAGCGCAGCGCCGGCGGGGCAGCGCUGGGGCCGGCUGCUGCCGGGGGCCCACCCGGGGCUUUGUUGCACCGCGCGGUGCAAACACGCAGAUGGCGGCGGAGCGGCCCUUCGCACCUCCGUCAGCCGGCGGCGUACGGCGCUGCCCCGCACAGCGCUACUCCGCCACCGCCGCUUCUCCUCGGCGCUCCGAUUCCCCACUCGCAGCGGGGCCGCUCCGAGCCCAAAGCAGAGCGGGAGUUACCUGGGGAAGUUGGGGGGGGCGGGCGCAGGGGCUGGGGGAUUUCCUCCGACACGUGCUUUCCCCGCAGGUGCCCCCGGAGCGGCAGACCGAGGACAGCCCCGUCCCGCCGCUGCUCGCGGGCCCGGCCGUGCGCUACCUGCUGCGGCACGGCGCCCAGCUGCCCAUGUACGCCCGCGGCCGCCCGGCAGGUUUUAACUUUUAUACCUGGAAAUAA